Molecule: ribosomal RNA, 185 nt
Filed under: Paraglomus laccatum
Lineage: Eukaryota; Fungi; Glomeromycota; Glomeromycetes; Paraglomerales; Paraglomeraceae
Source: RNAcentral
CAGUCGUGCCGGCGUUGGAUUCAGCUUGCUUCGCGGAGCAGGCGCAUUUCCGCGCAUGGCAGGUCAGCGUCAGUUUUGCGCGGCGUGAAAAGGCCCGGGUAAGGUAGCUCUCUUCGGGGAGUGUUAUAGACCUGGGCAGAUGCGCUGCGCGGGACUGAGGUCCGCGCAUCUGCUAGGAUGCUGGC